RNAcentral lists this ribosomal RNA (400 nucleotides) under Ovis aries (sheep). Its description in RNAcentral is "partial 12S ribosomal RNA". It matches the Rfam family "Bacterial small subunit ribosomal RNA", at positions 875 to 1405 of the family's 1533-position model. The record is from RNAcentral. Lineage: Eukaryota; Metazoa; Chordata; Mammalia; Artiodactyla; Bovidae.
CAAAUAAUUAUAAGAACAAAAUUAUUCGCCAGAGUACUACCGGCAACAGCCCGAAACUCAAAGGACUUGGCGGUGCUUUAUACCCUUCUAGAGGAGCCUGUUCUAUAAUCGAUAAACCCCGAUAAACCUCACCAAUCCUUGCUAAUACAGUCUAUAUACCGCCAUCUUCAGCAAACCCUAAAAAAGGGACAAAAGUAAGCUCAAUAAUAACACAUAAAGACGUUAGGUCAAGGUGUAACCUAUGGAGUGGGAAGAAAUGGGCUACAUUUUCUACCCAAGAAAAUUUAAUACGAAAGCCAUUAUGAAAUUAAUAGCCAAAGGAGGAUUUAGCAGUAAACUAAGAAUAGAGUGCUUAGUUGAAUCAGGCCAUGAAGCACGCACACACCGCCCGUCACCCUCA